This 176-nucleotide non-coding RNA is filed under the name Desulfosporosinus lacus. The record is from RNAcentral. Lineage: Bacteria; Bacillati; Bacillota; Clostridia; Eubacteriales; Desulfitobacteriaceae.
AUUAAUAAUUUUUUCUUAGGUGCCCUGUAAAGGGAGAAUAGGGAACCGGGUGUAAGUCCCGGACGGGCCCGCCACUGUAUAGGUUAGCCGAUGCCAACAACCACUCCAAAGUUGGGGGAAGGGGCAUAAUGGCGAUGAUCCUGAGUCAGGAGACCUGCCUAAGAUAAGAGUGACCU